Molecule: ribosomal RNA, 497 nt
Filed under: uncultured bacterium
Lineage: Bacteria
Description: partial 16S ribosomal RNA
Rfam family: Bacterial small subunit ribosomal RNA
Source: RNAcentral
GAUGAACGCUGGCGGCGUGCCUAAUACAUGCAAGUCGAGCGAACAGAUAAGGAGCUUGCUCCUUUGACGUUAGCGGCGGACGGGUGAGUAACACGUGGAUAACCUACCUAUAAGACUGGGAUAACUUCGUGAAACCGGAGCUAAUACCGGAUAAGAUUUUGAACCGCAUGGUUCAAUAGUGAAAGACGGCCUUGCUGUCACUUAUAGAUGGAUCCGCGCCGGAUUAGCUAGUUGGUAAGGUAACGGCUUACCAAGGCAACGAUACGUAGCCGACCUGAGAGGGUGAUCGGCCACACUGGAACUGAGACACGGUCCAGACUCCUACGGGAGGCAGCAGUAGGGAAUCUUCCGCAAUGGGCGAAAGCCUGACGGAGCAACGCCGCGUGAGUGAUGAAGGUCUUCGGAUCGUAAAACUCUGUUAUCAGGGAAGAACAAACGUGUAAGUAACUGUGCACGUCUUGACGGUACCUGAUCAGAAAGCCACGGCUAACUACGUG